Molecule: ribosomal RNA, 290 nt
Filed under: uncultured prokaryote
Description: partial 16S ribosomal RNA
Rfam family: Archaeal small subunit ribosomal RNA
Source: RNAcentral
GCUCAACCCUGGGGCGGGGGGCGAUACUGCCGGGCUAGGGGGCGGAAGAGGCCGCCGGUACUCCGGGGGUAGGGGCGAAAUCCGUUAAUCCCCGGAGGACCACCAGUGGCGAAAGCGGGCGGCCAGAACGCGCCCGACGGUGAGGGGCGAAAGCCGGGGGAGCAAACCGGGCUCAGGUCGGCGUUGCGCAGACAAUCUAAUCAUCCAGUCCCACCACGCGCGCCAACCCCCUCAUCUUUACCAAGCCGACCUGGCCCGGGCUCAAAGGGGAUUAGAUACCCCCGUAGUCC